RNAcentral lists this ribosomal RNA (447 nucleotides) under uncultured bacterium. RNAcentral describes it as "bacterial SSU rRNA". It matches the Rfam family "Bacterial small subunit ribosomal RNA", at positions 355 to 825 of the family's 1533-position model. The record is from RNAcentral.
UGGGGAAUCUUGCGCAAUGGGCGAAAGCCUGACGCAGCCAUGCCGCGUGGAUGAUGAAGGUCUUAGGAUUGUAAAAUCCUUUCACCGGUGAAGAUAAUGACUGUAGCCGGAGAAGAAGCCCCGGCUAACUUCGUGCCAGCAGCCGCGGUAAUACGAAGGGGGCUAGCGUUGCUCGGAAUUACUGGGCGUAAAGGGAGCGUAGGCGGACAUUUAAGUCAGGGGUGAAAUCCCAGAGCUCAACUCUGGAACUGCCUUUGAUACUGGGUGUCUUGAGUGUGAUAGAGGUAUGUGGAACUCCGAGUGUAGAGGUGAAAUUCGUAGAUAUUCGGAAGAACACCAGUGGCGAAGGCGACAUACUGGAUCAUUACUGACGCUGAGGCUCGAAAGCGUGGGGAGCAAACAGGAUUAGAUACCCUAGUAGUCCCUGAGCGGGCUGGCAAGGCGCAU